UGGGGAAUUUUGGACAAUGGGGGAAACCCUGAUCCAGCCAUCCCGCGUGUGCGAUGAAGGCCUUCGGGUUGUAAAGCACUUUUGGCAGGAAAGAAACGUCAUGGGUUAAUACCCCGUGAAACUGACGGUACCUGCAGAAUAAGCACCGGCUAACUACGUGCCAGCAGCCGCGGUAAUACGUAGGGUGCAAGCGUUAAUCGGAAUUACUGGGCGUAAAGCGUGCGCAGGCGGUUCGGAAAGAAAGAUGUGAAAUCCCAGAGCUCAACUUUGGAACUGCAUUUUUAACUAACGGGCUAGUGUGUGUCAGAGGGAGGUGGGAUUCCGCGUGUAGCAGUGAAAUGCGUAGAUAUGCGGAGGAACACCGAUGGCGAAGGCAGCCUCCUGGGAUAACAAUGAAACUCAUGCACGAAAGCGUGGGGAGCAAACAGG
Molecule: ribosomal RNA, 429 nt
Filed under: Acidobacteriota bacterium
Lineage: Bacteria; Pseudomonadati; Acidobacteriota
Description: Acidobacteria bacterium partial 16S ribosomal RNA
Rfam family: Bacterial small subunit ribosomal RNA
Source: RNAcentral